RNAcentral lists this ribosomal RNA (433 nucleotides) under uncultured bacterium. Its description in RNAcentral is "partial 16S ribosomal RNA". It matches the Rfam family "Bacterial small subunit ribosomal RNA", at positions 29 to 507 of the family's 1533-position model. The record is from RNAcentral.
AACGAACGCUGGCGGCAUGCCUAACACAUGCAAGUCGAACGAGACCUUCGGGUCUUGUGGCGCACGGGUUCGUAACGCGUGGGAACCUGCCCUUAGGUUCGGCAUAACUCCCCGAAAGGGGUGCUAAUACCGGAUAAUAUCUUCGGACCAAAGAUUUAUCGCCUUGGGAGGUGCCCGCGUUGGAUUAGGUAGUUGGUAGGGUAAAAGCAUACCAAGGCGCCGAUCCAUAGCUGGUCUGAGAGACUGAUCAGCCACACCGGGACUGGGACACGGCCCGGACUCCUACGCGAGGCAGCAGUGGGGAAUAUUGGACAACGGGCGAAGGCAUGAUCCAGCACUGCCGCGUGAGUGAUGAAGGCAUUAGGGUUGUAAUGCUCUUUUAACCGGGAUGAUAAUGACAGUACCGGGAGAAUAAGCUCCGGCUAACUCCGUG